UCCUUGAUAGCUCAGUUGGUAAAGAAUCUGCCUGCAAUGCAGGAGAACCUGGUUCGAUUCCUGGGUUGGGAA
This 72-nucleotide transfer RNA is filed under the name Bos taurus (domestic cattle). It matches the Rfam family "tRNA". From Rfam's summary of the family: Transfer RNA (tRNA) molecules are approximately 80 nucleotides in length. Their secondary structure includes four short double-helical elements and three loops (D, anti-codon, and T loops). Lineage: Eukaryota; Metazoa; Chordata; Mammalia; Artiodactyla; Bovidae. RNAcentral also lists the same sequence under 2 other names. The record is from Rfam by way of RNAcentral.